GUCCGGAGGCCCCUCCGGGGAAGAAGCCGUCUGAGGGGCUCCGUUUUCAGGCCUUUCUCUUGGAGGGCUCUCCUUGUCAUCCUCACUUUCGAAUCCUGCAGGGAGAGAAAAAGAAAGGGAGUAUUGUUUCCUCUGCGCUGCAUCCCAGCCAAGGAAGAGCCAGCCUUGGGAGUCCUUGGUGCAGUGUUCUGCACACAGGAAUAAAUAUGAAUUAGUUACUACCUGUCUAAGGAGAAAAAAACAGAAUCAGAACUGAAUCUGGUGACCCUGGGAAAGCCAAGCCCUUAACAUGACUGAAUAGCACUGAGGAGCCCAUAAAUUAGCCAGAUGGGAGGUGAUAAGGCAAAGGACUUGAAUAGACAUUUAUCCAAAGAAGAUGGCCAACAAGCACAUGAAAAGAUACUCAACGUCACUGAUCAUUAGGGAAAUGCAAAUUGAAACCAGGAUGGCAGAUUCUCAAAAAAGGAUCCAGCAAUUCCUACUGAUGUGUAUAAACCUCAAAGAACUGAAGGCAAGAGAUAUGUAAACACCCAUAUUCACAGAAGCAUUCACAACAGUCAAGGGACAAUAGUCCAGGUGUCCAUUGACAGAUUAAUGGAUAAAUAAAAUGUGGCAUUUACAUGAGUGGAAUAUUAUUCAGCCUUGAAAAGGAAGUUCUGAUCCAUGCUACAAUUUGG
This is a non-coding RNA of Castor canadensis (American beaver), 677 nucleotides long. The record is from RefSeq and is a predicted model, not a curated record. NCBI's taxonomy places the organism in Eukaryota, Metazoa, Chordata, Mammalia, Rodentia, Castoridae.